RNAcentral lists this ribosomal RNA (301 nucleotides) under uncultured bacterium. Its description in RNAcentral is "partial 16S ribosomal RNA". It matches the Rfam family "Bacterial small subunit ribosomal RNA", at positions 509 to 809 of the family's 1533-position model. The record is from RNAcentral.
CAGCAGCCGCGGGAAUACAGAGGGUGCGAGCGUUAAUCGGAUUUACUGGGCGUAGAGCGUGCGUAGGCGGCUUCUUAAGUCGGAUGUGAAAUCCCUGAGCUUAACUUAGGAAUUGCAUUCGAUACUGGGAAGCUAGAGUAUGGGAGAGGAUGGUAGAAUUCCAGGUGUAGCGGUGAAAUGCGUAGAGAUCUGGAGGAAUACCGAUGGCGAAGGCAGCCAUCUGGCCUAAUACUGACGCUGAGGUACGAAAGCAUGGGGAGCAAACGGGAUUAGAUACCCCAGUAGUCCCUGUCUCUUAUAA